This 253-nucleotide ribosomal RNA is filed under the name uncultured bacterium. RNAcentral describes it as "partial 16S ribosomal RNA". It matches the Rfam family "Bacterial small subunit ribosomal RNA", at positions 524 to 776 of the family's 1533-position model. The record is from RNAcentral.
UACGUAGGCAGCAAGCGUUGUUCGGAGUUACUGGGCGUAAAGAGUGUGUAGGCGGUUCUCUAAGGUUGGUGUGAAAUCUCCCGGCUUAACUGGGAGGGUGCGCCGAAAACUGGAGGGCUCGAGUAUGGGAGAGGAAAGCGGAAUUCCUGGUGUAGCGGUGAAAUGCGUAGAUAUCAGGAGGAACACCUGUGGUGUAGACGGCUUUCUGGACCAUCACUGACGCUGAGACACGAAAGCGUGGGGAGCAAACAGG